This 7747-nucleotide long non-coding RNA is filed under the name Theobroma cacao (cacao). Its description in RNAcentral is "long non-coding RNA (TCAC_LNC003869)". The record is from RNAcentral. Lineage: Eukaryota; Viridiplantae; Streptophyta; Magnoliopsida; Malvales; Malvaceae.
UUAAACUCAUUUUCCAUAAAAUCACAAAAUCGGAUAAAAACCACUUUAGAUAAUUAAAACGAUAGUAAGGUUACUCGUUGUAUCAGGAGUUUGAAAUACUCCUAUUCUCAGUCCUCUGACACAAUGUCUUUACCCUUGUUAGAGGGCUCACCACCUAUACAGAAUACACGACACAUAAUUCAAUAUACUGUGUCAUACCAUUAUAAAUCUAUUUCAAGCUCUUUGCUAUUGCAUGAAAUGGGAUGCAAAUUGUUCAGAUUAUUGUCUAAACACGGUGUUCUACACGAAUCCAAUUGUGUACCUAAAUAAUACGAUAUUGGCCUAAUUCGAUCUAUCACUCAAUUAAUUGGCCAAUAUGUCCAAUUCAACACCAAUUCACUCCAUUUUUCUUCCAAUUCUCCAAAUCCUCAAACACAAGUCAAAUAGCAUAAAAUUUACCAAAAUCAUCUCCACGUUUUCUCUUGAGAAUUUCGACCAUGAUGGGUGCAUCAACACCAUGAUUUUUCCUACUUGAUUUUCUCACCAUAAUUCAUCAUUUCCUAACCAAUUCACUUGAAAUAAAAUCAAAUCCACCAUCCACACUCUACAAGGAAAAUUCGGCCAAUGAUGGGUAAUGGGAGCAACUGAAUUUUUCUCGUUGGCUUUUCAUGCUACACAUCACUAACUAACUAAAAACACCAAAAUACAUUAAAAUCUAACCAAAUCAUCAUCAAAUUCUCUCUCCUAGGUGUUCGGCCAGCAAAUGACUCAUCAUGAAAACUUGAUUCUUAACCAUGGAAAAUGCAAAAGAAUGCAUGGGUAAGGUAGAUCACAAGUCAAAAUCAAGAAAUUUUACCUUUGAUUGCUUGAUUACUUGAAAUCCACCAAUUUUUCUCUUGAAUUUUCACCCUAGGGUUCUUGCUCUUUCUUUUCUUCCUUUGUUCUUCCAUUGGUUUUCCUUUGGCUGGCCAUAUGAAGAGAAAUGGGCUGAUUUUGUGUUAAUUUUUAAGCUAAAUAAUUAAUGGAUGAGAAUUUGACACAUGUCACCAUUCCUUUGGUCCAUGUGUCAUACUUAGCCAUUAAGCAAUCACUCUCCACCACUUAAAUUUUCUCAAUUAUCUAUGAUAAUAUUGGGUAAAAUCCAUGUGCUGGACAAGUGUUGGGUGGUGUAAAAUUACAAUUUUGCCCUUGGGCGACAAAAUGACUAUUUUGCCCUUUAUGCUCGAAAAAUGCCGAAAUUAAAAUUUUUUACUUCUCAAACUCAAAUUAUACUCCAAAUGAUCAAUUUUAUUAAAAAAUUUCAUCCAACACUCAUGUCUUAACCUCAGGUGGCAAAAUGACCAUUUUGCCCUUAGGUCAAGAAAAUUCCAAUUUGACUCCAAAUCAGUCCUCGAAUUUCUAAUCACCAUUUUAAGUCAUUCUGAGAAUUUAAAAUUCUCAAUUUUAUCUUAAAAUCUCUAUUUGGACUAGUUCAAGGCUUAAUUCAACUUAGUUGCACCGCUAGGUACACUACUGACUUUCAACAAUUUUUGGGGCUUUCCAAGUAUGCAAGCAUAUUGUCAAUCACAUGAAUGACAUGGCAAGUAUUUUAUAAGGUCGAGCUUGACAACACUACCCCCCUUAAAAUAAAAUUUUGACCUCAAAAUUUCAUUAACCGAACUCAAAGAAAAUAUAUUAUUUUCUCAUCUAAUGCUCGACUUCUUAUGUCCUCCUCUUUAUAAGGAAUUUCAAUUUGUUCACUUCAUUGACCUCCAAUUCAAUUCUCGAGUACUUCACUUAUAUCUAUUAUUAUCCUUUAAAAUCAGAUCAACAGUAACCUUCAUAAUUAUGAUUUCUUAUAUCGAGACACCCAGCAUGCUUCUAGUAUUAUCAUUAAACUUGAACCAUAACUCCAUCUCAAUCAUACCAAUCACUAUCUUAUUACUUCAUUCCAUAUCAAACUUCUCGACUUUCAUUCAUUCAUCCUAUCCUCAUACACUAUUGUGUAGUUUACGGCAUCAUUAACAUGCCAUACUCAUUCCUGUACAUAUCCUCAGUGUUAAGGAAGAUUAAUGGCUUCAAUUAUUUCCACAUACUUCAUGUUUACCUUACAUUUAGGAAAUUUCAAUCUUCUUAAUCCUAUUAAUCCAUCUCAUAUGGCUUAAUCACACUAUAGAUUACAUUCCCUUAACUAUUUCUCCAAAAUUCCUUAGGUCGCCAUAAAUCAUCUUCUGAUAAGAUUCUUGAUCAUUACAUUAUCUAUACAACUCAUCAAAUAUAUUGAGUUCAAAUUUCGAACUACUAAAACCAUUCUUCAUUUUAGUUGGGUACAUCACUAACUCCACACAUACGUAUACACGCACAUUCAAAUGUACAUAUUCCUCAUUAUGUAUACGGGUCUCUAUUUUCAAAUGCCUUCAAACUAAUUUCUCUUUGUUCAUUCCCAUCCAUAACCAAGAUUCAAUAGAAUAAUCUUCAUAAUUCAUACAAAUUCUCAUUAUGCCUGUGCAUAGUUCCACAUCAUUUACAUACUUAUACUCUCUUUUUAUCAUUUCCAAUUAUAUGCUUAAGUUUCCUUGCACUGUAAAUCAUUGCAUCACAAUGUCAUCUCCAUUGAAUUAUAAUCUAUUAUGCGUGUAUGUUUUAUAAUCCCAUUGAAACUUCAAAAUUUUUCCUUGACUUGAUCAUUACAUGUUAUGCAAUACCAUAAUUCCUAAAAGUCAUCCCUAUUCCUCGAUUAUAUUUCAUGCCUCUACAUUUCCUUGUAUUCUUCUUGCAUUCCAAUAUUGAUUUGUCACUUAAAACUCAGACUCAUUUGAAUCAUGUAUGCCUCAAGCAUUUUGAAUUCCAAUUUCCAUAAUAUAUUAGGAAAGUUUCAUUAUCUGACUUCAUUAUCAAGGUUAACUUCAAUCAUCUUUUGUUCCACUAUUUCAUACAAAUAUAACAUCUUUUUCCUUAACCAAUUUACAAAUUGUACUUGAAAUUGCAAAACUUGAAACUAGAUUCUCCUCAAGUACCUUUCAAUAUUAAUACUAAUAUCACUCUCAUCUUAUAGCUUCCUUUUUAUAACCACAUAACUUCGUGCUUGCUUUCACAAGAUCCACGGCAGAACUUCUCUUGAGUAUUUCCUUGGGGAUAUUUAUCUUAAACUUAUGUCUCACAACAUGUGAUCACUUAACUCGUAACUUAGCCAUUUAUGUGGCAUCCUCUUUGGGACCCACUCUGAGGUAUUGUUAUGUUUGGGUCCCCAUCACUUGACUUACUCACUUCCGUCGCGCCUAAGGGCGACACGACAGGCCCUGCAAGACCUUCUCACCAAGUUUCGAACCCUAGACCUUUUGCUCCCCCUAAAAGGAAUGCCUUUAACCAUUUCAGCUUUAACUCAUUCAUAUCGAUAUCUUCCAAAACCUUAAAACUUCAAUUAACAAAACUUAGAAUGAAGUUCAAUGGCUUUAGGUCAACUCGAAAAUUCAACUUCACAUCUGUCUCAUUUUAUUCAUGCAUCCUAGACAUGAAGUGUUCUUAACACCGCCGCACGGUGGCUGUUGGAGUUUACUUGAUCAAUGUUAUUCAUCUAUAUUUAAGGUUACUACGCUAAUCAUUCUCAACCGUUUGGUUUCCCUUCAAGCUUACAUCAUAAUUUUCAUAACCAUUUAUAUCCUCUUGUACUUAUCACAUAUAAUAGGUAAAAUAGAUAUUUUCAAAUUCAUCUCAUCCUAUAACACUUGUCAAUAAUCAAUAAAUCCCACUUUAGAAUACUCUUUCCAUAUUGUAUAGUAAUUUCACCAUAUAGUAUCACGGGUACUAUGUUCCUCCAUUCUACUAUCAUGCAUACUCCACAGAAUUUAAUUAGAAGAUUUACGUACCUUAACUAAUGCUAAUUCCCUUUAAUCAUAUCUUAAAUACUCCAAACUUGUAAAUUACAACUCCAAGUGUAUGUCCAUAUAUUGAUAAUCUUUAUAUAUUUCAUGAUCAUGAAAACUACAACUUACGAACUAGCUUUCUAUCAUAUGUACACUAUUAGAACAUUAGUUUCAACAUGUUUAAUUCUCCUUUGGUGAUAGGUUAAGAUCAUUCCUAGAUACAUUUCCAUAUUAACAUUGAUAUGCCUUUACCAUAGCAUUUAGUGCAAAUUUGAUGAAGGAAUUGUCUCCAAAUAACUCUUAAAUACAUAAUUAUCAAAUUGUACGCCACUAAAUGUUAAGAUCUUGACUUAUUCAUCAAUAACCAAUCACAUUUAUUAAGUGAAUAAUUUACUUAGUUAUUACACCUUGCCAUUGUGAACAUAAGAUCAAAGUUGUCCUAAACUUAGGAUGCAGAAGUUCUCUCUCUUAGAGUAUAUCUAAACAUCAACAUUCUCUAAAUUCCUUACUCUGGGGAGAUCACCUUCAAGACUGAUCAUUCAUAUCAUAGGCCACACUUUGAACCGAAUAAACUUUUAAAUUGAUCUUUCAAGUAAUUCGUAUAUCAGUCUCAAUUAUAGAACUUCAUAUGGCACUUAGACUAGAUUUGACAUUUCCAAGUCAUUUAACCUCAAGCUGCCAAUUCCACAUCUAGUCCUUUAAUCCCUUGGCUCCCCCUUGCUAUGCAUAGCAAAGUUCAAGCUCAUCCUUAAAGCAGAUUUGUUUACUAACUUCUUACUUCAUGACCACAAAUCAAUUAUAGUAAUCAUUGAUACUCACUCUCGAAUUAAUUCACGUGCUUAUAUCCAUGAACUAUAAUAGGUCCAAUCAAUUCUUAAAAUCUCACAAUCGCUUAAUUGAAAUCAACACCAGUUCCUUCUAAGCUGUUAUACCUAUUCAACACAUAUUUACAUAUAAAAUAUUUCAAAAUACUAACACCACUUUUAUAUGAGCAUAACAAGCUCCAUUAACAUAGUGUUCUUAUCUUCAUGCACAUAAGUAUGGGUUUACUCUUACCUCAAUGCUUAAUUUAUACACUCAAAGUGAAUUAUAACCAUCAUUAUUCAUUCUAAUCAAAGUGCGCCCCUUAUUACCAUUAUCACACGUGCUCCUUUAUAUUAACUUCAAUACAAUCCAUAGUCCCCAAAUCUUUUUCCAAUUGACAACCAUGAGUUCAAUUAUAACUCCACCAAAUGAAUAAAUUAUCACGGCCUAUUAGUCCAACUCCAAAUUUCUCCAUCCUUAAUCACAGGGAUAUAUCAUUUCAUUAAUCUUUCAUCAGGAGCAUUAGUUUUAAGAUCUCUCUAACACUGACUCGUGUCAUGGGUGGCAUCUUAAACCCGGACAACGACCCUACUUAUGACCUUUGCAUGACAUUAACAAGGAAGUGGAUUACUGGGAACAAGAGUUCAUAUAGCUCCCUGUCUAUGACUUAUGCUCCCAUAAGAUCUAUAAAAAGAAACAGAACGAGUCUAAACAACUCCAAAUUCUAUAUGCAGAUGCACGUAUUCUAUUCUAUCAAACCUAACUUAACCCAACUCGGGGCCACACUAACACUGUAAAUUUUAAAACAACUUUAAAACCAAAGGCUCUGAUAUUUAAAACCAAAGGCUCUGAUACCAAUCUAAUUGUCACGACCUGGUACUCCCCUCGAGCCCGUGACAACCACCGCAAUGUCCCGAUCGACACUCAAUACCCGAAAUGUCAACCGGAACCCCACAAGGCUUUAAUAUCAGUUUCUCAUUUCCCUUGUGAGUAAUUGUUGCCAAAUAUCAAGUUCUAAAAGAUUUUAAGUUAUUUCCAACUUAAAUCAAUAAAAAAAUGAUUUCUAUCUCAUAGGGAUAUUUUAAUCAUUUUUCCCUGAAAAUUUUAAAACCAGCUAAAAAUGUAGUAGACGAGUACAAAACACAUAAUUCAUAAUCAAAAAUAAAUUUGGAUGUCUAAAACAUUCAUUUAAAAUGAAAUUAUAACUAUUAGAAUAAAAUAAAAAUAUAUAAUAAAUAUUCAAUUUUCUCAUAAAACAAUAUUUUUAGAACACUGCGUAAAUAAAUUUUUGUAGCGUAAAAGUAAAAUAAAUUCAUAUAUAUUGUAAUACAGUAAGCCGGAGUAUUUAAUUUAAUUUACAGUAACAAGUGGGCCCUCGAAUAACCAAAAGUAAGAUAGAUUGUGAACUUACAAUUUGGAGGAUGCAAAUCCAAUGAUUGUCCUCGAUGAAAUCAGCUAUCUAUAGACUAUCCUGAGCCUGAAAUGGGUGAAAAUGAGGGUGGUGAGAUUAUAGAAUCCUAGUGAGUAAACAAAUAUCAUCUAAAAUAUCUAAAGUCGAGUAAUCGUCAAGGCUUAUGAAUUUCUUAAAACUUUGGCUCGUGCCAAAAUCAUUCUCAUACCCAGUUAUCAGGGAUGCCUUGAUCAAGGGCCAUCCCAACUGAGUCCGCCAAGGCUAUUAAAAAGUUAUGUACGCAUAAAUCAUGUUUUUAUUUUGAAAACAUAGUCGUUCCUUGGCGUUGGCUGAGUUCACCCUCACAUGGUGGUCUAGCGUGAAGUGAACUCUAAAGUGUUAACCUCAGGAGUUAUCCAUCUGCGCCUCUCAUAUUGAGGUAAAAUGUAACAGGGUUUACUGUGACCCUCUAAUAGGCUUGUCCAUAGAAACCCGCCCAUUGCAAUAAGCUAAUUCAUAUCCCACCAAAUCAAUAAAAGUUUUGACAGCAUGACAUGGCAAUUUAUAUUACUAUCCAGCCUGUUAAGGCAAAACAAACAGUUCGUACAUUUUCUAAUUCAACCAUUCAUGCCAAUAUUAUCAUAAGCCAAUCAAUUAGAAACAUAAAUUCACAGUACACCAAAUGGUCUCCAGUUACUCUAAUUUCAAAGACAUCAUUCAAUUUCAAGACAAUUUAUAAAAUCAUUUCUUUUAAACACAUUUUGUUUAUAAAACAUAAAGAUUUACCAUUUAAACUCAUUUUCCAUAAAAUCACAAAAUCGGAUAAAAACCACUUUAGAUAAUUAAAACGAUAGUAAGGUUACUCGUUGUAUCAGGAGUUUGAAAUACUCCUAUUCUCAGUCCUCUGACACAAUGUCUUUACCCUUGUUAGAGGGCUCACCACCUAUACAGAAUACACGACACAUAAUUCAAUAUACUGUGUCAUACCAUUAUAAAUCUAUUUCAAGCUCUUUGCUAUUGCAUGAAAUGGGUGCAAAUUGUUCGGAUUAUUGUCUAAACACGGUGUUCUACACGAAUCCAAUUGUGUACCUAAAUAAUACGAUAUUGGCCUAAUUCGAUCUAUCACUCGAUUAAUUGGCCAAUAUGUCCAAUUCAACACCAAUUCACUCCAUUUUUCUUCCAAUUCUCCAAAUCCUCAAACACAAGUCAAAUAGCAUAAAAUUUACCAAAAUCAUCUCCACGUUUUCUCUUGAGAAUUUCGACCAUGAUGGGUGCAUAAACACCAUGAUUUUUCCUACUUGAUUUUCCCACCAUAAUUCAUCAUUUCCUAACCAAUUCACUUGAAAUAAAAUCAAAUCCACCAUCCACACUCUACAAGGAAAAUUUGGCCAAUGAUGGGUAAUGGGAGAAAAUAAAUUUUUCUUGUUGGCUUUUCAUGCUACACAUCACUAACUAAUUAAAAACACCAAACUAGAUUAAAAUCUAACCAAAUCAUCAGCAAAUUCUCUCUCCUAGGUGUUCCGCCAGCAAAGGACUUAUCAUGAAAACUUGAUUCUCAACCAUGGAAAAUGCAAAAGAAUGCAUGGGUAAGGUAGAUCACAAGUCAAAAUCAAGAAAUUUUACCUUUGAUUGCUUGAUUACUUGAAAUCCACCAAUUUUUCUCUUGAAUUUUCACCCUAGGGUUCUUGUUCUUUCUUUUCUUCCUUUGUUCUUCCUUUGGUUUUCCUUUGGC